This 429-nucleotide ribosomal RNA is filed under the name uncultured prokaryote. RNAcentral's name for it is "bacterial SSU rRNA". It matches the Rfam family "Bacterial small subunit ribosomal RNA", at positions 355 to 776 of the family's 1533-position model. RNAcentral also lists the same sequence under 1 other name. The record is from RNAcentral.
UGGGGAAUAUUGCGCAAUGGGGGAAACCCUGACGCAGCGACGCCGCGUGAGCGAAGAAGGCCUUCGGGUUGUAAAGCUCUGUUUUAGGGGACGAAAGGUGAAGAUAGUAACUGAUCAACAUAAGACGGUACCCUAAGAGGAAGCCCCGGCUAACUACGUGCCAGCAGCCGCGGUAAGACGUAGGGGGCGAGCGUUGUCCGGAAUUACUGGGCGUAAAGAGCACGUAGGCGGAAAAUUAAGUCUGGUGUGAAAGACCGGGGCUCAACCCCGGGGUGGCAUUAGAAACUGGUUAUCUUGAGGGCAGGAGAGGACAGUAGAAUUCCUGGUGUAGCGGUGAAAUGCGUAGAAAUCAGGAGGAAUACCGGUGGCGAAGGCGACUGUCUGGACUGACCCUGACGCUGAGGUGCGAAAGCGUGGGUAGCAAACAGG